This 399-nucleotide ribosomal RNA is filed under the name uncultured bacterium. RNAcentral describes it as "bacterial SSU rRNA". It matches the Rfam family "Bacterial small subunit ribosomal RNA", at positions 28 to 420 of the family's 1533-position model. The record is from RNAcentral.
GACGAACGCUGGCGGCGCGCUUAACACAUGCAAGUCGAGCGAGAACCAGGCCUUUGGGCCUGGGGACAGCGGCGAACGGGUGAGUAACACGUGGGUAAUCUGCCCUCGGCAUCGGGAUAGCCCGGGGAAACCCGGAUUAAUACCGAAUGGCCUCUCGAGCUUUCGAGCUCGUGAGAAAAGGUAGCUUCGGCCUCCGGCCGAGGAGGAGCCCGCGGCGGAUUAGCUUGUUGGUGAGGUAAAGGCUCACCAAGGCGACGAUCCGUAGCUGGUCUGAGAGGACGAUCAGCCACACUGGGACUGAGACACGGCCCAGACUCCUACGGGAGGCAGCAGUGGGGAAUCUUGCCCAAUGGGCGAAAGCCUGAGGCAGCGACGCCGCGUGCGGGAAGAAGGCCUCGG